Molecule: long non-coding RNA, 1119 nt
Filed under: Callithrix jacchus (white-tufted-ear marmoset)
Lineage: Eukaryota; Metazoa; Chordata; Mammalia; Primates; Cebidae
Description: lncRNA (ENSCJAG00000069929.1)
Source: RNAcentral
UUAUAAUUGAGCAUAGAUCCCAUGAGAAUGUCAUUCUCAAAUUAACUAAUAGUUCAAGACUGAUAUGGACCUUUCAGAAAAGGCCAUAUAGAAAAGAUCCUUAGGCUGCCCCCUCAGUGUCAUGAGUAAAGACACAGACCAAGAUAAUGGAUUCAAGUCUCCUGGCUUGCAUGAGGCAGGUUUCUCCUGGGUGGAAUAGUAAUGCCAUGGAUAUCCAGUGUCCCUCAAAGUCAGAACAUUGGGUUCUUAAGACAAAGCAGCUCUAGCCACUGAACUGUGACUUGGUAAAUUCACUAACAAUUCUGCCCUCUCUCCCUUCCCCCAGGCACUUUCAUUUACUGACAAGCCCUUUGGCUCUGACCUCUUGAGGUUACAAAACUGAAUGGAGACCAGAACACAUCACCAGAGUAUUCUACUGCAGCCCAAACCAGCAAGUAUCAAGACUUCAAGAGGUGUGAGAGGUCACCUGACACAACCAGCUGGUUUAGGAAGGAACCUGAGGCCUAGGGAAGGUCCCGUGGUCUUGAUUGUCAAUGAUGACUGCCUGCUCUCCACCAGUGCCCCCGGUGCUCUCAGCACACACAGCACCUGAAAACAAGACAUCACUUGGUCAAAGUGGAGAAGUCGCCACAUUUAGCAGAUCCUGGGAAGAAAUAUGAAUAACUUAUUUCAGUUGUUGGAAAGCCUUUCAUCUAGCAUGUUCAAAUGGAAGGUGAAAAAUGGGACUGUGUGUUUUCUGAGUCACACUGGAUUUCCCCUUAUCCCCAUUUCUGAGCCUGCUUAAUGAUUUGCAGGAGCAGUUUAAUGGAGCCCUCACUAGUGGUGGUAGCAGUGCUAGAAUUUUUUACUGAGGUCCCCAGGAAGAAUAAACACAUUUCCUCUUUAGUUGAGUGAAAUCUCUUCACAUAUCUUCAAGUUUGGCAUUCACAAGCUACAAAGAGACUAAAGUGCCCUUAGCUUUCUCAAGCGUCCAACUAACAUCCAACAGGGCCAAGUUUUCUGCCAAGUUCUCAGUGGGUCACGACCUCAUUUUUCACGAUGGUAACAUGAAUGAACUGGAAGGAUAAUGAGAUGACACAUUUUAGUGAUUAACUUCAUUUAUAUUUGUAUUAUCCUUUU